RNAcentral lists this ribosomal RNA (305 nucleotides) under uncultured bacterium. RNAcentral describes it as "bacterial SSU rRNA". It matches the Rfam family "Bacterial small subunit ribosomal RNA", at positions 337 to 635 of the family's 1533-position model. The record is from RNAcentral.
ACCUACGGGGGGCAGCAGUAGGGAAUUUUCGUCAAUGGGCGCAAGCCUGAACGAGCAAUGCCGCGUGAACGAGGAAGGUCUUCGGAUCGUAAAGUUCUGUUGAAGGAGAAAAAGAGCGGAGAGAGGAAAUGGUCUCCGAUUGAUAUUACCCUUCGAGGAAGUCACGGCUAACUACGUGCCAGCAGCCGCGGUAAUACGUAGGUGGCGAGCGUUAUCCGGAAUGAUUGGGCGUAAAGGGUGCGUAGGCGGCCUGCUAAGUCUGGAGUGAAAGGUACCGGCUCAACCGGUACAGGCUCUGGAAACUG